AAUAGAUGACGCCGUUGACUUUUUAUCACACGUUUGACCAUUCGUCUUAUUCAAAAAAUUUACGUAAUUAUAAUUUAUUUUGUUGUGAGUUGUUUUAUCACUCAAAGUACUUUAAGUAUGAUUUAUAUCUAUACAUUUACAUAAAAAUUUUUAAAUAAUACGAAUGGUCAAACAUAUGUUCAAAAGUCAACGGCGUCAUCUAUU
RNAcentral lists this microRNA precursor (204 nucleotides) under Oryza sativa Indica Group (long-grained rice). Its description in RNAcentral is "MIR812 microRNA precursor family". It matches the Rfam family "MIR812 microRNA precursor family". Lineage: Eukaryota; Viridiplantae; Streptophyta; Magnoliopsida; Poales; Poaceae. The record is from Rfam by way of RNAcentral.